This 253-nucleotide ribosomal RNA is filed under the name uncultured bacterium. RNAcentral's name for it is "partial 16S ribosomal RNA". It matches the Rfam family "Bacterial small subunit ribosomal RNA", at positions 524 to 776 of the family's 1533-position model. The record is from RNAcentral.
UACGGGGGGGGUAAGCGUUGUUCGGAAUUACUGGGCGUAAAGGGCGCGUAGGCGGCCUGCUAAGUCGAACGUGAAAUCCCCGGGCUCAACCCGGGAACUGCGUCCGAUACUGGCAGGCUUGAAUUCGGGAGAGGGAUGCGGAAUUCCAGGUGUAGCGGUGAAAUGCGUAGAUAUCUGGAGGAACACCGGUGGCGAAGGCGGCAUCCUGGACCGAAAUUGACGCUGAGGCGCGAAAGCCAGGGGAGCAAACGGG